CAGAAAAUAGUUUAAUGUAGAAUGUCAGCUUUGGGAGCUGGUGAUGGGGGUUUGAUUCCCUCUUUUCUGA
This 70-nucleotide transfer RNA is filed under the name Streptopelia orientalis (eastern turtle dove). Its description in RNAcentral is "tRNA-Pro". It matches the Rfam family "tRNA". Rfam says of the family: Transfer RNA (tRNA) molecules are approximately 80 nucleotides in length. The record is from RNAcentral. Lineage: Eukaryota; Metazoa; Chordata; Aves; Columbiformes; Columbidae.